UCACGUCUUUGCUAUGUAGAGUACAACUACUUCUCAUUCAACAUAAAUGAAAGUUUCUUCUUUUAUUAUAAUAAGAACAUUUAAAAGAUCUUUCGACAAUCGAUUUCAAUGCUUAUACAAUAAUUCAUUCAUCCUUUAAUGCUCACGAACAAAAUUUCCCAGAAACCAUCAAGAACAAUCUGAACCACUAUCUUCAAGUUGAAGAAACCCCUUCAUCCUUAAAGAAGCAACCACCUAGAAUACUCACCAAUCCAGAGUACCGAAAAUAUUCUUAUUUUUACCCCUUAUAAGAUGCAUCAAAUUAAACCCCUAAUCACUCACCUAUGGAACAAUCAUUCCAUACAAAUCAUACUUCACCUUUUAUGUUUUUCUCUCAAAGACUCACUCACACAUGAAGAUGGAUCAAACAUAGUGUUUAAUCUUGAUUGUAUUCUGGAACGAAUGAAGGAAUGAACAAACGAAUUAAUUAAUUAAUGUUUCAACCUUAGAACGAAGAAACUCCUCAGUAUUUAAGAGGCACGGUUCAAGUUCGAAAUGACAAUGUUAUGUAACAUAAAUAACUUAUUUGUAACUGUCAAAUUAAGCCUAUAUGUUGUAUGAAUUGAU
RNAcentral lists this long non-coding RNA (606 nucleotides) under Cicer arietinum (chickpea). Its description in RNAcentral is "long non-coding RNA (CARI_LNC001978)". The record is from RNAcentral. Lineage: Eukaryota; Viridiplantae; Streptophyta; Magnoliopsida; Fabales; Fabaceae.